This 474-nucleotide ribosomal RNA is filed under the name uncultured bacterium. Its description in RNAcentral is "SSU rRNA". It matches the Rfam family "Bacterial small subunit ribosomal RNA", at positions 26 to 521 of the family's 1533-position model. The record is from RNAcentral.
AGGAUGAACGCUGGCGGCGUGCCUAACACAUGCAAGUCGAACGUCCUGUCUCGCAAGAGGCAGGGAGUGGCGGACGGGUGAGUACCACGUGGGUCAUCUACCGUGAGGUGAGGAAUACCGGCGAGAAAUCGCCGACAAGACCGCAUAGCCUCGGUGCAAGUCGAGGAAAGCUCUCUCGAGAGAGGGAGCGCCACACGAGGAGCCUGCGCCCGAUUAGCUAGCUGGUGGAGUAAUGGUUCACCAGGGCGACGAUCGGUAGCUGGUCUGAGAGGACGAUCAGCCACACUGGGAUUGAGAACGGCCCAGACUCCUACGGGGGCAGCAGUGAGGAAUUUUCGUCAAUGGGGGCAACCCUGAACGAGCAACGCCGCGUGCAGGAAGAAGGUUUCGGAUCGUAAACUGCUUUUCGUCGGGAAGAGAACGGACGGUACCCGAGGAAUCAGCCCGGCUAACGUACGUGCCAGCAGCCGCGGU